Long non-coding RNA from Choloepus didactylus (southern two-toed sloth), 1562 nucleotides. RefSeq lists it as uncharacterized. The record is from RefSeq and is a predicted model, not a curated record. The transcript is spliced from 4 exons. NCBI's taxonomy places the organism in Eukaryota, Metazoa, Chordata, Mammalia, Pilosa, Megalonychidae.
UCUGAGCCGAUCUAGGACACCCUGCCCAGCUCCCCUCCAUCCAGCAGGACAGCCUUUUAAACUCAGCCCAGCCCCUCCCUGGGCAGGCGAUGUGGGCAGGGGACAGGGCACGAACUUGGGUCAGGAGCUCCAUUCCAACGCUGCAGCGUGACCUGCCAGCCGGCGGAACCGUGAGCCGUCUCCAGCCUCCUCAGCCUUAAAGCAGGAAUAAGGCCCCCGGCAACGGGCUGGACAAGAUGCGCCAGCUAGUGCGCUGUGCACAGAGCAGGCCAAGUGACAUCACCUCCCUGGGCCUCAAUGUCCCCACCUAUAAAAUGGGACUUGGAAAACCUACCUCGGGGUGCCAUGAGGAUUAUUGGGAGCCAAGCAACCAGAAAGCACCUGCUGAUGGCAGAGAGCACUGGAUACCCAGGCAGGAGCCCUGUUUCUAGACCCAGCUCUGCAUGACCUCUGUGUGACUGCAGACAGUCCACCUCACUUCUCUGGGCCUCAAUUUCCACGCAAAAUGGUGGAUGGGUGGAUAUGCAGAAAAGGAUCCUUCAGGAAGAGCACACAAGAAACUGGUAAGCGUGGAAGCCUGCGGGAGGAGAAACGGGCAAAUGGAGGGAACAGAAUGGGAAGAAAUCUUCCUGCCAAAUAUCCUUUGAAUCUUUUGAAUAUUGUACCACGAUGUAUUGACUAUUAAACAUUUUUUAAAAAAAUAAUAAAGACUACUAGAGCAAUAUGAAAAAAUGCUUACGUUAGGUGAGAAAAAAGAUAAUCUCUACAUUCAAUGGAAUUUCAGCUACAUAACAUAAAUGCAUGUUAAAAUUUCUAUCUAUGGAAGGAAGAUCCUAGGUAAUUUUUCUUUCUUUUUUUUUGCAAUUUUGUUCCAGAAAUUUCUAUAAGUAUAUAUUGCUUUAUGAUUAGAAAAAUAAAGGUGACAGAAAAUGUUUAUAGACUGCUAAGAUAAUUAUACAUUGUAUCUAAUCUCAACUGUGUAAACAAGUUAUUGAAAAAGACGAGAAGGAAAUAUGCAAAAUAUUUGCAAUGGUGGCAUCUGGGUGUGAGAUAAUAGAUGAUUUUUAAACUAUUACAAUGAUCUUAUGUUGCUUAUGAUCAGAAGAAAGGAAUUAAAGAAGUCUGGAAGGAAGGAAGGACAGAAGGAGGGAAAGGGGGGUGGGGGAAGAAAGGGAGUCCAGAAGAAAGGAAUUCUUGAAAAUAUCAGUUGUAUCAGGGUGGUAAGUUUAUGGGUAUUUUUUGUUGCUUUGUUUGUUUUUCCAAAUUAUUCAUAAUGUAGUUUUGUUGUUAUUUCAGCAGGAGCAAAACCCUCAUGGCUGUGGAGCAGGAUUCCACUCCUUUAAGGCCUGCUGAUUUGUGCUAAAGAGAUAGAGCUCUUAAUUACUUGUUAUUCAUUCCAAGCAACAAGUCUCAAGGGGUUCCUUGGAUGGUGGGAGAUGGUACAGAUGCCAUGUCACUGGGGAUGGAGAGUGAGCACCACAGCAUCCUGAGGCCCUCAAAAUGUCUUUUAUAAAAUUUUUUAAUCAUAUUUUUUAUUGUAGAAUAUAACAUAUAUACUUAGA